AGUGAACGCUGGCGGUAGGCCUAACACAUGCAAGUCGAACGGCAGCACAGUAAGAGCUUGCUCUUACGGGUGGCGAGUGGCGGACGGGUGAGGAAUACAUCGGAAUCUACUUUUUCGUGGGGGAAAACGUGGGCAACUUACCUCUAAUACCCCAACGGACCAACGGCGGAAAGCAGGGGAUCUUGGGCCCUUGCCGGAUGAAUUGCCCCGGUGGAGGUUUGGCUAGUUGGGGGGGAAAGGGCCCACCAAGGGGAGGCCCCGUAGCGGGUCUGAGAGGAUGAUCAGACACACUGGACCUGAGACACGGGCCAGACGCCUACGGGAGGCAGCAGGGGGGAAUAUUGGACAAUGGGCGCAAGCCUGAUCCAGCCAUACCGGGUGGGUGAAGAAGGCCUUCGGGUUGUAAAGCCCUUUUGUUGGGAAAGAAAAGCAGCAGGUUAAUACCCCGCUGUUCUGACGGUACCCAAAGAAUAAGCACCGGCUAACUUCGU
RNAcentral lists this ribosomal RNA (491 nucleotides) under uncultured bacterium. RNAcentral's name for it is "partial 16S ribosomal RNA". It matches the Rfam family "Bacterial small subunit ribosomal RNA", at positions 29 to 506 of the family's 1533-position model. The record is from RNAcentral.